AUAUGAUACGUUUUAUAUGUUUUAUAUAAAACGGUAGACUUAAAUGCUGGCAUUAUAAAUGUACCUGUCACUAAAGCAGUAUUUUGUUAACCUAGUAAAUAAGCAUAGUGUUUAGAUUCGUUGUCACUCGGGGGGGGGAGGGGGAGUAUGUAGGGAACUACGUUCUCAAUACCUCACUAGCGCAGAGAGUAUAGAAAGCCUAGGGAUUUUGCGUGUUGCCUACAAGCAGCGUCAGAGAAAAAUAAGAAGUCAGAUAGAUUAUGGUGCUCAUCCUGUACGAUCGUAUUCAUUCGAGCUCGAGUAAUAAAAUUCAUCAUUAUUAGUUCAAUCAAGAAAAGUGUCGAUCAUUAUACCUCAUAUCACAUCACACGACAAGCGUGGGCUUGUCUUGAGAAUUGACUCAUCAAUCGAGUCACUUAUUCCCACACGUCCAGUGUGCAGGAGCCACUAGCAGAAAAAUUUUAUGAAAAACUAUACAUAGAUUGAGACAAGAUCUUAGAAAUUCUUAGUUUUUCAUUGAUAUUUGUAGUGGAACAUAAAGUGGCAUUGUUUGUUCGAAGAACCAAGAAAGCCUUUCUUAAAACAACGACAUUGUAUGUUCCACUACGAAUAUCUACGAAAAACUAAGAAUUUCUAAGGCAACAAGUAAACCUCACUCUACAUCCUACAAAUAUCUAGGAAAAAUUAAGAAUUUCUAAAAUCUUAUCUCAAUCUAGAAGAUGAGCUCACCGGAGAUGCCGCUACCCAAAAGGAGAGAGAAUAAAAUCCAAUCCACCUCAAGAAAAAAGAAACGAUUUCCAAGAAUUCCAAUGUUUUCGUUUUUCCUUUCUUGCCAAUCUUUAUUUAGUAACUUUACUCGAACUGAAUUAUUAAUUAAAUUCGAGCAAUAUUACUAACAAAAGCUAUUAGCCGUUUAUGAAUUUUUAAAUAUUAUAUGAUGUUACUAUGGUACGCCAUCUUAUAACAUAUUAUUACAUUCUGAUGCGUGCGUGCGUGUCAACUACGUAUUUAAUAUCCAUACAUUUAAAUAUACACAAUAUACCUGUUACAUGUAUUACAUACGUAUUAUAUACGUAUUUCGACUUGAAUAUGCAUAAUAUAUCUGCUACAUAUUA
Acromyrmex echinatior (Panamanian leafcutter ant) is the source of this 1115-nucleotide long non-coding RNA. The record is from RefSeq and is a predicted model, not a curated record. Lineage: Eukaryota; Metazoa; Arthropoda; Insecta; Hymenoptera; Formicidae.